UUCGGUUUGGGUGGCGGACGGGUGAGUAACGCGUAAAGAACUUGCCUCACAGAUAGGGACAACAUUUGGAAACGAAUGCUAAUACCUGAUAUUAUGAUUUUAGGGCAUCCUAGGAUUAUGAAAGCUAUAUGCGCUGUGAGAGAGCUUUGCGUCCCAUUAGCUAGUUGGAGAGGUAACGGCUCACCAAGGCGAUGAUGGGUAGCCGGCCUGAGAGGGUGAUCGGCCACAAGGGGACUGAGACACGGCCCUUACUCCUACGGGAGGCAGCAGUGGGGAAUAUUGGACAAUGGACCAAGAGUCUGAUCCAGCAAUUCUGUGUGCACGAUGAAGUUUUUCGGAAUGUAAAGUGCUUUCAGUUGGGAAGAAAAAAAUGACGGUACCAACAGAAGAAGUGACGGCUAAAUACGUGCCAGCAGCCGCGGUAAUACGUAUGUCACAAGCGUUAUCCGGAUUUAUUGGGCGUAAAGCGCGUCUAGGUGGUUAUGUAAGUCUGAUGUGAAAAUGCAGGGCUCAACUCUGUAUUGCGUUGGAAACUGUGUAACUAGAGUACUGGAGAGGUAAGCGGAACUACAAGUGUAGAGGUGAAAUUCGUAGAUAUUUGUAGGAAUGCCGAUGGGGAAGCCAGCUUACUGGACAGAUACUGACGCUGAAGCGCGAAAGCGUGGGUAGCAAACAGGAUUAGAUACCCUGGUAGUCCACGCCGUAAACGAUGAUUACUAGGUGUUGGGGGUCGAACCUCAGCGCCCAAGCAAACGCGAUAAGUAAUCCGCCUGGGGAGUACGUACGCAAGUAUGAAACUCAAAGGAAUUGACGGGGACCCGCACAAGCGGUGGAGCAUGUGGUUUAAUUCGACGCAACGCGAGGAACCUUACCAGCGUUUGAC
Molecule: ribosomal RNA, 883 nt
Filed under: uncultured Fusobacterium sp.
Lineage: Bacteria; Fusobacteriati; Fusobacteriota; Fusobacteriia; Fusobacteriales; Fusobacteriaceae
Description: bacterial SSU rRNA
Rfam family: Bacterial small subunit ribosomal RNA
Source: RNAcentral